GAUGAACGCGGGCGGCGUGCCUAAUACAUGCAAGUAGAACGCUGAAGCUUGGUGCUUGCACCGAGCGGAUGAGUUGCGAACGGGUGAGUAACGCGUAGGUGACCUGCCUCUUAGCGGGGGAUAACUAUUGGAAACGAUAGCUAAUACCGCAUAAAAGUCGAUAUCGCAUGAUAUUGAUUUGAAAGAUGCAAUUGCAUCACUAAGAGAUGGACCUGCGUUGUAUUAGCUAGUUGGUGAGGUAACGGCUCACCAAGGCGACGAUACAUAGCCGACCUGAGAGGGUGAUCGGCCACACUGGGACUGAGACACGGCCCAGACUCCUACGGGAGGCAGCAGUAGGGAAUCUUCGGCAAUGGGGGCAACCCUGACCGAGCAACGCCGCGUGAGUGAAGAAGGUUUUCGGAUCGUAAAGCUCUGUUGUAAGAGAAGAACGAGUGUGAGAGUGGAAAGUUCACACUGUGACGGUAACUUACCAGAAAGGGACGGCUAACUACGUGCCAGCAGCCGCGGUAAUACGUAGGUCCCGAGCGUUAUCCGGAUUUAUUGGGCGUAAAGCGAGCGCAGGCGGUUAGAUAAGUCUGAAGUUAAAGGCUGUGGCUUAACCAUAGUACGCUUUGGAAACUGUUUAACUUGAGUGCAGAAGGGGAGAGUGGAAUUCCAUGUGUAGCGGUGAAAUGCGUAGAUAUAUGGAGGAACACCGGUGGCGAAAGCGGCUCUCUGGUCUGUAACUGACGCUGAGGCUCGAAAGCGUGGGGAGCAAACAGG
Molecule: ribosomal RNA, 765 nt
Filed under: uncultured Streptococcus sp.
Lineage: Bacteria; Bacillati; Bacillota; Bacilli; Lactobacillales; Streptococcaceae
Description: bacterial SSU rRNA
Rfam family: Bacterial small subunit ribosomal RNA
Source: RNAcentral